Molecule: long non-coding RNA, 500 nt
Organism: Fundulus heteroclitus (mummichog)
Lineage: Eukaryota; Metazoa; Chordata; Actinopteri; Cyprinodontiformes; Fundulidae
Exons: 2
Source: RefSeq, a predicted model, not a curated record
AAAUGUAACACUUUGCAAAUGCCCCUUGAACUUUUCUGCAUCUUCUCACUUUGCAAACACAAACCUCGUAAGAUUUGGAUCAUUAAGUAGUAACACAUUUAUAUACGUAUUGGAUAACUGUUUUUGUUUUAACUGUUUUAAUUUGAUUUAUUUAUUUGCCUGCAUUAGACCAAAACUAUCACCGCAAUCAGAGCUCAAGUCCUGUUUGUCUCUGCUGGAUUUGCAGACAAAGACUAAUUUUGUUGCCUAUUCUUUGCAAACUAGCUCAAGCUCAGGUAGGCAGGAUAGGAAGCGUACAUGAACUUAAAUCAUUUUAGUCUUGACUUUGACUGGGCCCCUUUUACCAGGUUGAAGGGUUUUAAUCCAAGCAAUUCUGUUGUCUGCAUUUUUAUGGUUGUCCUGCUGGAAGCAAAGUCUUUUGCAGCCUCUUUCAGGUCUUCCUCCAGGACUGCCCUGUGUUUAGCUCCAUGUUCCCAUCAACGCUGACCACUUUCCCUCUC